RNAcentral lists this unclassified non-coding RNA (455 nucleotides) under Melitaea cinxia (Glanville fritillary). RNAcentral's name for it is "misc RNA ENSMCXG00005014132.1". The record is from RNAcentral. Lineage: Eukaryota; Metazoa; Arthropoda; Insecta; Lepidoptera; Nymphalidae.
AUCGAAACUUGCAAACAAUACAUAACGUGCCGCUUCAAAGAAACCAUAUGGUCACAAGAUCGGGAUCACGUUAGAGAAAAGUUGAUACAUUGCAUAAAUCUGAACAAAACGUAUAGAGAUACUUACAUAUUUGUGAAGAACCAACCAUUUCUGCCCAAUACUGAGCAGUUCAGCUUUUCAGAAAAUUAUGUGUUUGGUAAAUUUGAUACAUUUUGCAAAAGACUUAAUAAAAUUAUUUCUAUGUUCGAUUUAAUGGACGACUACAAUCAUUUGUUCGAAAAAAGAAUGGAAGGCUUACUUUUGGGAGAAGACUUAGAAGAUGCAAUGCAUGCAUUUAACGAGGCUAAGAAAGCGGUGACGUCAUGCCAUUAUGAUUAUUUAGACUAUAGGAAUAAUGAGUUUGACAAAGACUACCAAAAGUUCGAGCAAAAAACCAACUCUCUUCGGGAGUCCAU